GGAAGGAAGACUAUCAAUCAAUAUUGUAGUAAUUGUUAUUUUAUUAUAGUAUAUUCAAUAUUGUUAUAAACAUGAUGGUGAUGGACAAAAGCAUCUGCCAAAUACCGUACCUCUAAGAGGAAUAUGUCAGGUCUGUGCCCUGUCCUUGUCCUGUUUCUUAGUUUGUGUCCCUUGUGUUGUCACGUGUUCUUUGUUCCUGUGUUUGUUUACCUUUUCUCCUCGUGUCUGACUCCUCACGCCCUGCCCUUGAUUAUCUGGCGUUCUCGUCAUUUCAUGUUACGCGUUUGUUCAUUGUGUUUUUCCCCGUGUUCCUAGCGAUAGUUAAAUAUUUCAUGUUUAUUAAGUUUCUCGUGUUUCCGACCCUGGACUGUACAUCGACUAUUCUCCUGCCUAUGCCCUGUUUUGGAUUUGUUUGCUUGCUCUCGGACUGCCUACCUGUGUACCGAAUCCUGCUAAGUAACACGAUUACCCUUCACUCUACUGCUGCGUUCUGAGUCGUGCAUUUGAGUUCACCCGCAAUUCGUAACAGAAUAUGGAUCAUGUACAAUAUCUAUUCCACUGUGCACUGUCUAUUUGACAGGAUAAGGAUCAUCUCAUCUCAUCUCAUCUCAUCUCAUCCAGAGGCUGACACCAGAACAGAUCCUGCUCUGGUCUGGUGCUAAUCUGCUGGGUCUGAGGUUCUGUUCACUCCUCUGAGGUUCUGUUCAUUCCUCUGAGGUUCUGUUCAUUCCUCUGAGGUUCUGUUCUGCUCAAUGUCAGCUCAUUCCUCUGUCCCAGAGCCUGUGAAGGAGCCCUGUGCUGCUGAUAGUGGGCUGUCUGCUGUCGCUGGGGAGAGCAACGCAAACAAUCACUUUUUUGUCUGCACCCUUCUCUUUUCUUCUCCUCCUCUUCUCUUCUCCUCCGUGAUGCCACUCUGUCUGUUCUUCUCCUCCGUGAUGCCACUCUGUCCAAUCUAAUAUCUCUUCAUCUCCAAGCUCCUCCGUGAUGCCACUCUGUCCAAUCUAAUAUCUCUUCAGCUCCAAGCUCAUGAUUCUAUUCUAUCUGAUGGGCCCAGGUAUUCUUCAGCAUUCCAAAGACACUGAUGUGACGGUACCCACGCGGGGUGGCGUGUCUGUCCUCUCUGAUGUCUUUGGUGAUGUGACGGUACCUGUUGCAGGGGUGACGUGUCUGUCCUCUCUGAUGUCUUUGGCCUGGCCUGUGUGAGAUGUGACCUGUGAAGUGUGACCUCAGAACAGCUAACAGCUAAGCUAACUUGGGGGCGAGGCACACCACGCUGCCCAGGAGGACAGGCCCAGAUGGAGGCAGGUAGUUGCGGCCUCAUGUUCCACUGGGGACGAAGAGGUUUAAGUAAGAAGGGGUCUGAGUGGUGCUGGGGACUGGACAGAGCUGGUCUCCUCUCCAUCACUCUCAUUAGGUCAGCAGUGACAAGAUGCUUGCAGUGGUGGCAGAGUGGAAGACAUGAAGGGUUGCCAAACAGUCAACACAAUGACCUACGUGAACUAAAUGCUUUUCGUCACACAUGGUGAUCUUUGGAGCAGUCCAGCCUUGGAUAGUUGGACUCUAGGCUGGGGGGUGCUGCACAGAGUCAGAGACUAACUGGGCUUGGCUGUGGGCUUUCUAGAACCUUCUGACCGGUCUGAACCGGAUGAGUCUCACUGAGGAAGUCUUUCCCAGGUGAUUGUGCCUGGAGAGAGAGCGUCCAGGAUCUACUCACACAUCUUACAUAAAUAAUUACUCACGUCAGUAGUCAUGUACUCUUUGAAACAUGUGAACACGCAAACACACACACACACACACACACAGGUGAAACAAGAUUGAUGCAUCACCUGCACAAAAUAAUGACAAGAACAUAUGGUGUCAGCUGUGCUGGCAGCGGUUUGACAGAAGCCCAAUUCAAGGCCUCUUACCUGAUUAAAACAGUUUGUUUUAUGGAUGCAUCAGUCAAAGUCCUGCGACACACCGGUGCUGGACCUUAGUGUCAGAACCAGGUAAGUGCUGCAGAAUAAUCCAUCCUGUGUGAAAGACUGAAACAGCAAAACUGCCAUCUCUGACAAAAACAUAUUCAAGCCUGUC
This is a long non-coding RNA of Clupea harengus (Atlantic herring), 2073 nucleotides long. The record is from Ensembl. NCBI's taxonomy places the organism in Eukaryota, Metazoa, Chordata, Actinopteri, Clupeiformes, Clupeidae.